This 792-nucleotide ribosomal RNA is filed under the name uncultured archaeon. Its description in RNAcentral is "bacterial SSU rRNA". It matches the Rfam family "Archaeal small subunit ribosomal RNA", at positions 85 to 879 of the family's 1478-position model. The record is from RNAcentral.
ACUGCUCAGUAACACGUAGUCAACCUAACUCAUGGACGUGGAUAACCUCGGGAAACUGAGAAUAAACCACGAUAGAUCAUAGUGCCUGGAAUGGCUUAUGGUCCAAACAGUUUACUGCCAUGGGAUGGGACUGCGGCCUAUCAGCUUGUUGGUGAGGUAAUGGCCCACCAAGGCGAUUACAGGUACGGGCUCUGAGAGGAGAAGCCCGGAGAUGGGUACUGAGACACGGACCCAGGCCCUAUGGGGCGCAGCAGGCGAGAAACCUUAGCAAUGUGCGAAAGCACGACUGGGUCAGUCCGAGUGAUUCCUGAUAAAGGAGUCUUUUGCUUGUCCUAAAAGCACAGGUGAAUAAGGGGUGGGCAAGUCUGGUGUCAGCCGCCGCGGUAAUACCAGCACCUCGAGUGGUCAGGACGUUUAUUGGGCCUAAAGCAUCCGUAGCCGGCUCUGCAAGUCUUCGGUUAAAUCCACCUGCUCAACAGAUGGGCCGCUGGAGAUACUACAGAGCUAGGGAGUGGGAGAGGCAGACGGUAUUCAGUGGGUAGGGGUAAAAUCCUCUGAUCCAUUGAGGACCACCAGUGGCGAAGGCGGUCUGCCAGAACACGUUCGACGGUGAGGGAUGAAAGCUGGGGGAGCAAACCGGAUUAGAUACCCGGGUAGUCCCAGCUGUAAACGAUGCAAACUCGGUGAUGCAUUGGCUUAUGGCCAAUGCAGUGCCGCAGGGAAGCCGUUAAGUUUGCCGCCUGGGAAGUACGGACGCAAGUCUGAAACUUAAAGGAAUUGGCGGGGGAGCAC